RNAcentral lists this unclassified non-coding RNA (168 nucleotides) under uncultured Endogonales. RNAcentral describes it as "sequence contains ITS1". The record is from RNAcentral. Lineage: Eukaryota; Fungi; Mucoromycota; Endogonomycetes; Endogonales.
AAAAAUAGGCAUAGCCUAUAUCCACCUUGUGUGCAAACAAUGGAGAGAGAAAAUGGAACAAAAAGAGCACUUCUUCUUUAGAAGAGUGUUGCCAACUUUUCUCUAUAUAUAUUUUUAUAAAUACCAUCAAAAUUCAAAUAAAAUUAUUUUUAAAUAAAAAAUAUUAUA